Molecule: ribosomal RNA, 272 nt
Filed under: Faecalibacillus sp. H12
Lineage: Bacteria; Bacillati; Bacillota; Erysipelotrichia; Erysipelotrichales; Coprobacillaceae
Description: partial 23S ribosomal RNA
Rfam family: Bacterial large subunit ribosomal RNA
Source: RNAcentral
UAAGAAUGAUUUUCUGAGUAGCGGCGAGCGAAAGGGAAAGAGCCCAAACCGAUCUGAGGAUCGGGGUAGUAGGAUCAUCGAGGAAUCUGACAGAGGAUCAUAGAGGAAUCACAUGGGAAGGUGAGCGAGAGAGGGUGAGAGCCCCGUACUCGAAAUGAGAGACUGGAGAGAGAUGACACCUGAGUAGGGCGGGACACGAGAAAUCCUGUCUGAAUCAGCCGGGACCAUCCGGCAAGGCUAAAUACGAGAGAGUGACCGAUAGUGAACCAGUA